This is an RNA transcript of Macadamia integrifolia, 3075 nucleotides long. It is a transcript of the gene named probable methyltransferase PMT28, with no coding region annotated. The transcript is spliced from 10 exons. Lineage: Eukaryota; Viridiplantae; Streptophyta; Magnoliopsida; Proteales; Proteaceae. The record is from RefSeq and is a predicted model, not a curated record.
AAUAGAGGUUGAGCCGUUGAGGUCAUACAAAGUUGACAUUAGUAUUUCUUUUACCGAAGCCUGGUACUUGCUAAUGGCUAUGCUGGGGAGAGAGAAAGUAAUUCCUUUUCGAUUCUGUAUACUGUAGUGUGUUCUUUAAUUCACAGGAUUUUUUUUUCACUUAUAUUGUAAGAAAAUUUUCAGACAUGGACUAUUAAACCCAGGUUGAAAGCACUCAUUUUCCCUUUUCUUGCUGAGGUUUGCUGCGAUCCGGAGAGAGAGAGGACUACCACGUCCUUAGUCCCCAACAAUGUGACCUGGCCAGCUUUUGAAGAUCCAGGAUUCUUGCUAGUUGAUUACUAGUAAGAUGGCGGUGGCACGGUUUUUUCGCCUCGUCAAACGCAGAUAUGGGUUCUGUGCGAAGUUUAUCGCAGUGGCCUUGUUGGGUCUCUGUUUCAUAUUUCUUUGGUCUACGUUUUUAUCGUCUUCUUCAGCUGUUGCCUCUCAAAGAAGUAGCUUUAGUGACAUAAAGGAAACGUUUUCGGCGGAUGGGAAGUUAAAAGAUUCAAGGGUUCGACCUAAGAAGAGAGAGCCGGAUGGAAGUGAAGCACACAAAGGUGGUGAUAACACAGUGGAAUCCAUUUUGGGAGGGAAAGACAAGAGAAAGGGAGGUGGGCAUGUUUCCCAUCAUAAUAAUAAUAAUCACAAUGCUGGGAAGAAGGAUAAGGAAGCUGAUCUGGUAAUCUCCAAUGCUACUCGUGUGUCAGAAGGAUCGAACAACGGGGAAUCGCAAAAGAUAGAGGAUCAAGGUCAAAUAGAACAAGAAGAAGAAGAAGUAGAGGAUGCUGAGGAAGAAGAUGGAAGGGUAAUUGAGGAUAGUGAUUUGAAUGACUCAGGAGACCAGCAAAAUGAGGAGAAGUUAGUAGAAGAAAUCGAGGAACCCAUUAGUACAGGGAAGAAGAAAAAGAAGGUGGGUCCAGUGUUUGAUUCAAGAGCUCAAUACACCUGGAAACCGUGUAAUGUAAGGAGCAAAUACAAUUACAUUCCAUGUAUUGACAUUGAGCAUGCCACGAAGAAGUUGCAGAGCUAUCGACAUCGGGAAAGGAGUUGUCCUGGAACACCUAUGUGUCUUGUUCCUCUUCCUCAUGGGGGUUAUCAAUCUCCAGUGCGUUGGCCUGAGAGCAAAUCUAAGAUAUUAUAUGGCAACGUGGCACAUCCAAAACUUGCUGCAUUCAUCAAGACAAGGAGUUGGAUAAUUGAAUCUGAGCAAUAUCUUACUUUCCCAGAAGAUCAGUCAGAGUUCAAGGGUGGAGUCCUAAACUACAUUGAAUCUAUUGAUGAGAUGGUGCCUGACAUUGAAUGGGGAAAGAAUAUUCGCAUAGUACUGGACAUUGGAUGCACUGAUUCAAGCUUUGUAGCUUCUCUUCUUGAGAAAGAGGUAUUAACUUUUUCACUGGGCUUGAAGGAUGAUCUGGUGGAUCUAGCACAGGUUGCUCUAGAGCGUGGUUUUCCUGCAUUUGUGAGCCCUUUUGGAGCAAGAAGGCUUCCUUUUCCUAGUGGCGUUUUUGAUGCCAUUCACUGUGGUGCAUGUGGCAUACGGUGGGAUUCUAAUGAGGGGAAACUUCUAGAGAUGAAUAGGAUUUUGCGACCUGGGGGUUACUUUAUAUCGUCUGCCAAACAUGAAAACAUUCAAGAGGAAGAAGCUAUGUCUUCAUUGACGGCAUCAAUUUGUUGGAAUAUCCUGGCAUAUAAAACGCAUGAAAUCAGUGAAAUGGGUGUUAAGAUAUAUCAGAAACCAGAAUUGAAUGAUAUAUACGCGUUGAGAAGGAAGAAAAGCCCUCCUAUGUGUAAAGAUGAUGAGAACCCAGAUGCAGCCUGGUAUGUUCCAAUGAAGACUUGCUUGCAUAAAAUUCCAACUGGAAUUGAACAACGUGGAACUGAGUGGCCUGAGGAAUGGCCCAAGAGGCUUGAAACUUUUCAUGAUUGGUUGGUUAACAAAGAGAAUGUGGUUGCAGAGACUGAGCGCUGGAAGGCUAUAGUCAACAAUUCCUAUCUCAAUGGCAUGGGUAUUGAUUGGUCAAGUAUCCGGAAUGUGAUGGACAUGAAAUCAAUUUAUGGAGGAUUUGCAGCUGCUCUAUUAUCACAGAAAGUUUGGGUGAUGAAUGUGGUCCCAGUCAAUGCACCAGAAACACUUGCCAUCAUAUAUGAGCGUGGACUUUUGGGCAUAUACCAUGACUGGUGUGAGUCUUUUGGCACUUACCCAAGAUCCUAUGAUCUUUUGCAUGCCGAUCAUCUCUUCUCACGGCUUAAGAACAGAUGUAAGCAGCCUGUAGGGAUUGUUGUUGAGAUGGACCGAAUACUACGGCCUGAUGGUUGGGCUAUUAUACGUGACAAGGUGGAGAUACUUGAUCCUCUGGAAGUAAUCUUGAGAAGUUUGCAUUGGGAGAUCCGAAUGACUUAUGCACAGGAUAAAGAGGGUAUCAUCUGUGCACAGAAAACAACGUGGCGGCCAUGAAGUCUUGUGGGGGCAGUUUAUAUUGGAUGGCCAAAAUUCCAUGUCAUUUAAGAGGGAUAAGCCCUGAGCUUGUGUUAUUCCCACUCCUUUUCUAUCCCACAAAAGUGAGGAUAUUUUGUGACUGAAAUCUUCUUCGUAGCUCAAGUCUCCCAUCGUUCAGGGAAUAGAGAUUCAACAGCCAGCCCCGAUGGAAUUGUUUAUCCGGUUCCAUAUAGUGUAGUCAGUAUGAAUGUUUAGUGGAGGCCUGCUUGCUUUGUUGAAAAAGGCCAAAGCCAGAAUAUUUUAUAAGUUCCUUCAGCUCUCAUGGUUGGAGCAUUAAAUUUAAGUUUUUAUUUUUUAUUUUUUAUUUUUUAUUUUUUAUUUAAUGAUAAGUUGAUGAGCAGCUCGGCCGUGAAGCUCGAAAAUGAACACACUUAAAGAUAUAGGAGGUGUGUGGAGCUCAUGAAAUAGAAAUGCUUUUGCAACAGAUUCUAUGUUUGUAUAUGAGUUUAUCCUUCGUCAAGCUGUGAAGAGGACUGACAACUCAGAUGAUUAUUAGUUCUAAAUCUUAUUUUUUUGCGCGGAACUAUUUGAAAUUUUUU